This 497-nucleotide ribosomal RNA is filed under the name uncultured bacterium. RNAcentral's name for it is "partial 16S ribosomal RNA". It matches the Rfam family "Bacterial small subunit ribosomal RNA", at positions 28 to 507 of the family's 1533-position model. The record is from RNAcentral.
GAUGAACGCUGGCGGCGUGCCUAAUACAUGCAAGUCGAGCGAACGGACGAGAAGCUUGCUUCUCUGAUGUUAGCGGCGGACGGGUGAGUAACACGUGGAUAACCUACCUAUAAGACUGGGAUAACUUCGGGAAACCGGAGCUAAUACCGGAUGAUAUUUUGAACCGCAUGGUUCAAAAGUGAAAGACGGUCUUGCUGUCACUUAUAGAUGGAUCCGCGCUGCAUUAGCUAGUUGGUAAGGUAACGGCUUACCAAGGCAACGAUGCAUAGCCGACCUGAGAGGGUGAUCGGCCACACAGGAACUGAGACACGGUCCAGACUCCUACGGGAGGCAGCAGUAGGGAAUCUUCCGCAAUGGGCGAAAGCCUGACGGAGCAACACCGCGUGAGUGAUGAAGGUCUUCGGAUCGUAAAACUCUGUUAUUAGGGAAGAACAUAUGUGUAAGUAACUGUGCACAUCUUGACGGUACCUAAUCAGAAAGCCACGGCUAACUACGUG